Molecule: ribosomal RNA, 425 nt
Filed under: uncultured bacterium
Lineage: Bacteria
Description: partial 16S ribosomal RNA
Rfam family: Bacterial small subunit ribosomal RNA
Source: RNAcentral
GUGGGGAAUAUUGCACAAUGGGCGAAAGCCUGAUGCAGCGACGCCGCGUGAGCGAAGAAGUAUUUCGGUAUGUAAAGCUCUAUCAGCAGGGAAGAUAAUGACGGUACCUGACUAAGAAGCACCGGCUAAAUACGUGCCAGCAGCCGCGGUAAUACGUAUGGUGCAAGCGUUAUCCGGAUUUACUGGGUGUAAAGGGAGCGCAGGCGGUGCGGCAAGUCUGAUGUGAAAGCCCGGGGCUCAACCCCGGUACUGCAUUGGAAACUGUCGUACUAGAGUGUCGGAGGGGUAAGCGGAAUUCCUAGUGUAGCGGUGAAAUGCGUAGAUAUUAGGAGGAACACCAGUGGCGAAGGCGGCUUACUGGACGAUAACUGACGCUGAGGCUCGAAAGCGUGGGGAGCAAACAGGAUUAGAUACCCUAGUAGUCC